Non-coding RNA from Cinara cedri, 310 nucleotides. NCBI's taxonomy places the organism in Eukaryota, Metazoa, Arthropoda, Insecta, Hemiptera, Aphididae. The record is from the annotation of a GenBank genome assembly.
AACAUGCAUACACAAAAUAUAAUAUAGUCAAAUUUCUCUAACACUUGUAUUAAACUUAACGUAAGCAUAAGGAAGGCGUAUACGUAAACACAGUUAUGUACGAGUACUAAGUACAACUAUUGCUAAACACAUCUAUUUGCUCACUUCGAGUUUGCCGAGUUAUAAUUAACAUAUUCACUAUACAUAAAUAGGCGAAAUAUGAUUAAAAACGAUUUAAUCUACUUAAACGCUAAAAGCAGUAUAUACUUACUACGAUCUAUUAUUAUAAUUACAUUUUAAUUUACUGUGGCACUUCACUACACUAGAGACU